UACGUAGGGUGCGAGCGUUGUCCGGAAUUAUUGGGCGUAAAGAGCUCGUAGGCGGUCUGUCGCGUCGAUCGUGAAAACUUGGGGCUUAACCCUGAGCUUGCGGUCGAUACGGGCAUGACUGGAGUUCGGCAGGGGAGACUGGAAUUCUCGGUGUAGCGGUGAAAUGCGUAGAUAUCGAGAGGAACACCUGCGGCGAAGGCGGGUUGCUGGGCUGACACUGACGCUGAGGCGCGAAAGCUAGGGGAGCGAACGGG
This 254-nucleotide ribosomal RNA is filed under the name uncultured bacterium. RNAcentral describes it as "partial 16S ribosomal RNA". It matches the Rfam family "Bacterial small subunit ribosomal RNA", at positions 524 to 776 of the family's 1533-position model. The record is from RNAcentral.